GAAGGAGAAACUACUCUCAACUAUAAGAAAACUCUACUCUGGUGCAAAGAUGCCAUCCAAGAUGAUCGCUAUUUUAUAUGCAGUCCUGAUCUUGGGGAAAGAGUUACACGCUGAGCGGAUUGUGAUGCCAGGUCCAUCAUCCGGGAUCAUGCUACAGGAUACGGCGGGAUUCAUCAUGACCAA
Xenopus tropicalis (tropical clawed frog) is the source of this 183-nucleotide long non-coding RNA. RefSeq lists it as uncharacterized. The transcript is spliced from 2 exons. Lineage: Eukaryota; Metazoa; Chordata; Amphibia; Anura; Pipidae. The record is from RefSeq and is a predicted model, not a curated record.